RNAcentral lists this ribosomal RNA (581 nucleotides) under uncultured bacterium. Its description in RNAcentral is "partial 16S ribosomal RNA". It matches the Rfam family "Bacterial small subunit ribosomal RNA", at positions 355 to 926 of the family's 1533-position model. The record is from RNAcentral.
UGGGGAAUUUUGGACAAUGGGCGAAAGCCUGAUCCAGCAAUGCCGCGUGUGUGAAGAAGGCCUUCGGGUUGUAAAGCACUUUUGUCCGGAAAGAAAUCCUUGGCUCUAAUACAGUCGGGGGAUGACGGUACCGGAAGAAUAAGCACCGGCUAACUACGUGCCAGCAGCCGCGGUAAUACGUAGGGUGCAAGCGUUAAUCGGAAUUACUGGGCGUAAAGCGUGCGCAGGCGGUUUGCUAAGACCGAUGUGAAAUCCCCGGGCUCAACCUGGGAACUGCAUUGGUGACUGGCAGGCUAGAGUAUGGCAGAGGGGGGUAGAAUUCCACGUGUAGCAGUGAAAUGCGUAGAGAUGUGGAGGAAUACCGAUGGCGAAGGCAGCCCCCUGGGCCAAUACUGACGCUCAUGCACGAAAGCGUGGGGGAGCAAACAGGAUUAGAUACCCUGGUAGUCCACGCCCUAAACGAUGUCAACUAGUUGUUGGGGACUUCAUUUUCCUUAGUAACGUAGCUAACGCGUGAAGUUGACCGCCUGGGGAGUACGGUCGCAAGAUUAAAACUCAAAUGAAUUGACGGGGUCAUAGCU